GCUGGAUGUGGUGGAGCACACCUGCAAUCCCAGUGACUCAGGAGGCUGAGGCAGGAGGAUUGCAAGUUCAGAGCCAGCUUCAGUAACUUAGCAAGGCCCUGUUUCCA
This 107-nucleotide small RNA is filed under the name Marmota monax (woodchuck). The record is from RNAcentral. Lineage: Eukaryota; Metazoa; Chordata; Mammalia; Rodentia; Sciuridae.